UAUGCCUACGGGGGGCAGCAGUGGGGAAUAUUGCACAAUGGAGGGAACUCUGAUGCAGCGACGCCGCGUGAGUGAAGAAGUAAUUCGUUAUGUAAAGCUCUAUCAGCAGGGAAGAAAGUGACGGUACCUGACUAAGAAGCCCCGGCUAACUACGUGCCAGCAGCCGCGGUAAUACGUAGGGGGCAAGCGUUAUCCGGAUUUACUGGGUGUAAAGGGUGCGUAGGUGGCAGGGCAAGUCAGAUGUGAAAGCCCGGGGCUCAACCCCGGUACUGCAUUUGAAACUGUCCAGCUGGAGUGCAGGAGAG
Molecule: ribosomal RNA, 305 nt
Filed under: uncultured bacterium
Lineage: Bacteria
Description: bacterial SSU rRNA
Rfam family: Bacterial small subunit ribosomal RNA
Source: RNAcentral